CCUACGGGUGGCAGCAGUGAGGAAUAUUGGUCAAUGGGCGCGAGCCUGAACCAGCCAAGUCGCGUGAGGGAGGACCGCCCUACGGGUUGUAAACCUCUUUUGCCGGGGAGCAACGGGCGUCACGUGUGGCGCCACUGAGAGUACCCGGAGAAAAAGCAUCGGCAAACUCCGUGCCGGCACCCGCGGUAAUAGGGAGGAUGCGAGGGUUAGCGGGAUUUAUUGGGUUAAAGGGGUGCGUGGGCGGAUCUUUAGGUAGGUGUGAAAAUUGAGGGGCCAAACCCCUUACUGCCAUUGAAACUGGCGAUCUUGAGUGGAAGAGAAGUAUGCGGAAUGCGUGGUGUAGCGGUGAAAUGCAUAGAUAUCACGCAGAACCCCGAUUGCGAAGGCAGCAUGCCGGCUUCCGACUGACGCUGAAGCACGAAAGCGUGGGGAUCGAACAGGAUUAGAUACCCGAGUAGUC
Molecule: ribosomal RNA, 460 nt
Filed under: uncultured bacterium
Lineage: Bacteria
Description: partial 16S ribosomal RNA
Rfam family: Bacterial small subunit ribosomal RNA
Source: RNAcentral